Molecule: long non-coding RNA, 900 nt
Organism: Triticum urartu
Lineage: Eukaryota; Viridiplantae; Streptophyta; Magnoliopsida; Poales; Poaceae
Source: RefSeq, a predicted model, not a curated record
UCUGUUCAUCUUAUCCAGUGGCAGAGAAGGUGGAAGGUGGGACAGCUUCGGCUGGGCGCUCGUGGGCGAGCUCGUCAGCCGUCCGGCUCUCCCCUCCGCUUGCGGCCCUCUCGGCCUCUCCUCCACUUCCGGCGUCCCCGGCCCCCCUGUAGGGCAUCCUCGGCGUUCCUAACCUCAAGAAGUGCGGCGGCGGAAGAUCCGCGUGGGGGCAUCGAGCGCAGCUGGAUCUGCGUGAAGGCAUCCACAGCCUCCGUGCAGACGCUCGAGAUCGACAACGCCACCAUGAUGUACAGCUGCGAGCUGCCCACCCGUGUCCUCAGCCUCUUCGUCCCACUCUUGGUGUCUCCUCAACGAUCCUCAGCAGGGAGCGCAUCAUUGUCGUCAACUCCAAGCUGAUCCGAUGCGUCAAGAGGACUUGAUACAUCAUGGUCUUCUUGUGCUUUGUUGUUUGGUUGGUGUAGAGCCCCUCAGCUCUUACCAAGAGGCUCUAGCUUUGAAUCUGACUCUUUUAGUAGUUGGAGUGUUGCACACAUGGAAUUGAUCGCAGAGAGGAAGCGAAGCAGCAACAGUUUGGGUUCAGAGAAGAUUAGGAGCAGCAGUUCAUUGGAGAAGGAGAGGUACAACAGCCGAGGGCAGUAGCAGAGAGCAGAAUUAGCAGGCCAGGGGCGGCAGCAGAGGAUCAGAAGCAGAGAUGAGUUCGAUUCGAUUGCCAUUGAUAAUGAUUCAGACUUGAGUUUGCACCACCCUUGUGUUACUAAAUAGUUUGUCCUUUUUCACUUGUGAUUAUGCACUAGAGAUUUGCAAGGAUGCAUUGGAUUUUUUUAUACUGAUUUGAUGCACUCUGACUUUGGAAUGCGAACAAAUGUGAUCUUCAAUUGGCAUUGAUGAUUCAGACUUCAA